GUGCUCACUUCAGCAGCACAUAUACUAAAAUUGGAACGAUACAGACAAGAUUAGCAUGGCCCCUAAAAAAAAAAAAAAUGUCUAUGGAUACAACCAAGAUAUCUUU
Molecule: small nuclear RNA, 106 nt
Organism: Jaculus jaculus (lesser Egyptian jerboa)
Lineage: Eukaryota; Metazoa; Chordata; Mammalia; Rodentia; Dipodidae
Source: RefSeq, a predicted model, not a curated record